GUGCUCCUCGGCUCUUCGGCUUUACGCCACCCGAGACCACGCCUGCGCGACCAGCCCGCCUGCGUCGUGCUCCUCGGCUCUUCGGCUUUACGCCACCCGAGACACACCUGCGCGGUCAGCCCGCCUGCGUCGUGCUCCUCGGCUCUUCGGCUUUACACCACCCGAGACCACGCCUGCGCGGCCAGCCCGCCUACGUCGUGCUCCUCGACUCUUCGGCUUUACGCCACCCAGGACACACCUGCGCGGCUAGCCCGCCUGCGUCGUGCUCCUCGGCCCCUCGGCUCCAUUCUCCCCGAAAC
This 299-nucleotide long non-coding RNA is filed under the name Musa acuminata (dwarf banana). Its description in RNAcentral is "long non-coding RNA (MACU_LNC003012)". Lineage: Eukaryota; Viridiplantae; Streptophyta; Magnoliopsida; Zingiberales; Musaceae. The record is from RNAcentral.